CAGACUAUACUUAAAGUUAAGGGAUUCAUUUACACUGAGUUAAUGUUGUGCAAUUCAAUAUAGUUUGA
Molecule: transfer RNA, 68 nt
Filed under: Gromphadorhina portentosa (giant Madagascar hissing cockroach)
Lineage: Eukaryota; Metazoa; Arthropoda; Insecta; Blattodea; Blaberidae
Description: tRNA-Val
Source: RNAcentral